GAUUAAGUUAUUAAGGGCGCACGGUGGAUGCCUUGGCACUAGAAGCCGAUGAAGGACGUUACUAACGACGAUAUGCUUUGGGGAGCUGUAAGUAAGCUUUGAUCCAGAGAUUUCCGAAUGGGGAAACCCAGCAUGAGUUAUGUCAUGUUAUCGAUAUGUGAAUACAUAGCAUAUCAGAAGGCACACCCGGAGAACUGAAACAUCUUAGUACCCGGAGGAAGAGAAAGAAAAUUCGAUUCCCUUAGUAGCGGCGAGCGAAACGGGAAGAGCCCAAACCAACAAGCUUGCUUGUUGGGGUUGUAGGACACUCUAUACGGAGUUACAAAGGACGACAUUAGACGAAUCAUCUGGAAAGAUGAAUCAAAGAAGGUAAUAAUCCUGUAGUCGAAAAUGUUGUCUCUCUUGAGUGGAUCCUGAGUACGACGGAGCACGUGAAAUUCCGUCGGAAUCUGGGAGGACCAUCUCCUAAGGCUAAAUACUCUCUAGUGACCGAUAGUGAACCAGUACCGUGAGGGAAAGGUGAAAAGCACCCCGGAAGGGGAGUGAAAUAGAACCUGAAACCGUGUGCUUACAAGUAGUCAGAGCCCGUUAAUGGGUGAUGGCGUGCCUUUUGUAGAAUGAACCGGCGAGUUACGAUUUGAUGCAAGGUUAAGCAGUAAAUGUGGAGCCGUAGCGAAAGCGAGUCUGAAUAGGGCGUUUAGUAUUUGGUCGUAGACCCGAAACCAGGUGAUCUACCCUUGGUCAGGUUGAAGUUCAGGUAACACUGAAUGGAGGACCGAACCGACUUACGUUGAAAAGUGAGCGGAUGAACUGAGGGUAGCGGAGAAAUUCCAAUCGAACCUGGAGAUAGCUGGUUCUCUCCGAAAUAGCUUUAGGGCUAGCCUCAAGUGAUGAUUAUUGGAGGUAGAGCACUGUUUGGACGAGGGGCCCCUCUCGGGUUACCGAAUUCAGACAAACUCCGAAUGCCAAUUAAUUUAACUUGGGAGUCAGAACAUGGGUGAUAAGGUCCGUGUUCGAAAGGGAAACAGCCCAGACCACCAGCUAAGGUCCCAAAAUAUAUGUUAAGUGGAAAAGGAUGUGGCGUUGCCCAGACAACUAGGAUGUUGGCUUAGAAGCAGCCAUCAUUUAAAGAGUGCGUAAUAGCUCACUAGUCGAGUGACACUGCGCCGAAAAUGUACCGGGGCUAAACAUAUUACCGAAGCUGUGGAUUGUCCUUUGGACAAUGGUAGGAGAGCGUUCUAAGGGCGUUGAAGCAUGAUCGUAAGGACAUGUGGAGCGCUUAGAAGUGAGAAUGCCGGUGUGAGUAGCGAAAGACGGGUGAGAAUCCCGUCCACCGAUUGACUAAGGUUUCCAGAGGAAGGCUCGUCCGCUCUGGGUUAGUCGGGUCCUAAGCUGAGGCCGACAGGCGUAGGCGAUGGAUAACAGGUUGAUAUUCCUGUACCACCUAUAAUCGUUUUAAUCGAUGGGGGGACGCAGUAGGAUAGGCGAAGCGUGCGAUUGGAUUGCACGUCUAAGCAGUAAGGCUGAGUAUUAGGCAAAUCCGGUACUCGUUAAGGCUGAGCUGUGAUGGGGAGAAGACAUUGUGUCUUCGAGUCGUUGAUUUCACACUGCCGAGAAAAGCCUCUAGAUAGAAAAUAGGUGCCCGUACCGCAAACCGACACAGGUAGUCAAGAUGAGAAUUCUAAGGUGAGCGAGCGAACUCUCGUUAAGGAACUCGGCAAAAUGACCCCGUAACUUCGGGAGAAGGGGUGCUCUUUAGGGUUAACGCCCAGAAGAGCCGCAGUGAAUAGGCCCAAGCGACUGUUUAUCAAAAACACAGGUCUCUGCUAAACCGUAAGGUGAUGUAUAGGGGCUGACGCCUGCCCGGUGCUGGAAGGUUAAGAGGAGUGGUUAGCUUCUGCGAAGCUACGAAUCGAAGCCCCAGUAAACGGCGGCCGUAACUAUAACGGUCCUAAGGUAGCGAAAUUCCUUGUCGGGUAAGUUCCGACCCGCACGAAAGGCGUAACGAUUUGGGCACUGUCUCAACGAGAGACUCGGUGAAAUCAUAGUACCUGUGAAGAUGCAGGUUACCCGCGACAGGACGGAAAGACCCCGUGGAGCUUUACUGUAGCCUGAUAUUGAAAUUCGGCACAGCUUGUACAGGAUAGGUAGGAGCCUUUGAAACGUGAGCGCUAGCUUACGUGGAGGCGCUGGUGGGAUACUACCCUAGCUGUGUUGGCUUUCUAACCCGCACCACUUAUCGUGGUGGGAGACAGUGUCAGGCGGGCAGUUUGACUGGGGCGGUCGCCUCCUAAAAGGUAACGGAGGCGCUCAAAGGUUCCCUCAGAAUGGUUGGAAAUCAUUCAUAGAGUGUAAAGGCAUAAGGGAGCUUGACUGCGAGACCUACAAGUCGAGCAGGGUCGAAAGACGGACUUAGUGAUCCGGUGGUUCCGCAUGGAAGGGCCAUCGCUCAACGGAUAAAAGCUACCCCGGGGAUAACAGGCUUAUCUCCCCCAAGAGUUCACAUCGACGGGGAGGUUUGGCACCUCGAUGUCGGCUCAUCGCAUCCUGGGGCUGUAGUCGGUCCCAAGGGUUGGGCUGUUCGCCCAUUAAAGCGGUACGCGAGCUGGGUUCAGAACGUCGUGAGACAGUUCGGUCCCUAUCCGUCGUGGGCGUAGGAAAUUUGAGAGGAGCUGUCCUUAGUACGAGAGGACCGGGAUGGACAUACCUCUGGUGUACCAGUUGUCGUGCCAACGGCAUAGCUGGGUAGCUAUGUGUGGACGGGAUAAGUGCUGAAAGCAUCUAAGCAUGAAGCCCC
Molecule: ribosomal RNA, 2797 nt
Filed under: Staphylococcus aureus
Lineage: Bacteria; Bacillati; Bacillota; Bacilli; Caryophanales; Staphylococcaceae
Description: partial 23S ribosomal RNA
Rfam family: Bacterial large subunit ribosomal RNA
Source: RNAcentral